This 268-nucleotide long non-coding RNA is filed under the name Homo sapiens (human). Its description in RNAcentral is "HSALNT0371522". The record is from RNAcentral. Lineage: Eukaryota; Metazoa; Chordata; Mammalia; Primates; Hominidae.
GGGCGGCCCGCCGGCGGGGACCGGCUAUCCGAGGUAUCCGAGGCCAUCCGAGGCCAACCGAGCCGACCGAGGCCAACCGAGGCCAUCCGAGGCCGACCGAGGCCGACCGAGGCCGACCGAGGCCGACCGAGGCCAUCCGAGGCCGACCGAGGCCAACCGAGGCGCCGCGGGGCUGCCGUAUCGUUCCGCCUGGGCGGGAUUCUGACUUAAGAGGCGUUCAGUCAUAAUCCCACAGAUGGUAGCUUCGCCCCAUUGGCUCCUCAGCCAA